This 230-nucleotide ribosomal RNA is filed under the name Colletotrichum truncatum. Its description in RNAcentral is "partial 28S large subunit ribosomal RNA". Lineage: Eukaryota; Fungi; Ascomycota; Sordariomycetes; Glomerellales; Glomerellaceae. The record is from RNAcentral. RNAcentral also lists the same sequence under 1 other name.
AGCGCUUGUGACCAGACUUGCGCCCGGUGAAUCACCCAGCUCUCGCGGCUGGGGCACUUUGCCGGCACAGGCCAGCAUCAGCUUGCCGUCGGGGACAAAAGCUUCAGGAACGUAGCUCUCUUCGGGGAGUGUUAUAGCCUGUUGCAUAAUACCCUUCGGCGGGCUGAGGUACGCGCUCCGCAAGGAUGCUGGCGUAAUGGUCAUCAGCGACCCGUCUUGAAAACGGACCA